CUUAAGGCUCCUGCCCUGAGAAGAUGGGAAGAGAUUUUUGUAGUCAUGCUUAUCAAAUAGAUUAAUGGUGCCGUGAUCUGGACAGGGGUUGUUCAAUAUCCUCCCUGUAUAUGAAAUGGCUGCACAGUAAGCC
Small nucleolar RNA from Mastomys coucha (southern multimammate mouse), 133 nucleotides. RefSeq annotates it as small nucleolar RNA SNORA29. The transcript has a single exon. The record is from RefSeq and is a predicted model, not a curated record. Lineage: Eukaryota; Metazoa; Chordata; Mammalia; Rodentia; Muridae.